ACAGCUGAUAUAUGAUAAUGUGAUGGCUCAAUUUCUGAAUUAUCACAUUAUAAUUCGAACCUGUGGAUUUUCCCCUUUGUGGAAAAAUCUAGGUCGUUUCACGGUGUUUCUCCAACACACAGAAAUAUUAUAUCAAAAAAGACUAUGAGCCUAAUUCUCCCGCAUGCCCAAGCGUUCAGCGCCAAACCAAAAACCAAAUCUAAACCAGGGUUGGUUUCCAGCGACAAAAAAGAAAGAAAAUACUAGAAAAUAAAAAAAACCUAAACCUUAUCUCCUCAGCCCCACACGGACGCACACCACGUCCAACUCCAACACAUGGACAGAACCAGUCCGCAUGCCGCAUGCCGCAACCUCCGCCUCCGCUACGCUCUGGGCACGCCGCCUCGCUCCGCCUCCACCACCAGCCCGCCCACCCUCACCCUCUCUGCUCCCUUCACCGCUCCCUCCACUUCAUCGCACGCUAGUACUCAUGGAGACAGCUCUUGAGGCCGUGGUUCCCUUCCCUAGCCUUGUCCCCCUGUCAUCCUCUAGAUCUAGCUCGAGGAGCACGUGAAGGAAGCCAUGCCGGUGGCGAAUCUGUGGAAAUUCGAUGACAGGUGGUUUCUUUCCUCCUAUUUUUCAUUCAUGUACUGGAUCGCAGGUCGAAUUUGAUUUCUUCCCCUUCCUACAGUUCCGAUAGAUUACAAUCUGCUUCUCUUGGAUCUAGGGUUGGUUUAUUUGGGAGGGCAAAUCACUUACCCUAGAGCUGCUCGAGAAAGAGAAGAUUACUGGAUAGUGCACAUGGAAGAUCGAUAGGGCUACAGCUAAAGGGGAAGUCGAUUCGGUCUUCAUGCGACUUCUGAGUCUUUCUAGUGAGCAACCAUAUACAUGGAACCAAAAUCCUCUCUCUGACAAUUAAUUAGCUAUUUAGAAGACCUUAGCGUGGUUUCUAGAACAUGAUUCAGGUUGUAUUUUAUUUUGUGGACCUGUCAUAUCUCCUCUUAGUUAUGAUUUUCCAUAGUUAAUUCCUUCCUAUCUACACUAUACAUUAGAGUAUCAAAUAUAUUUUUAGCAUGGUACAGUACUUAUUAUAAGUCACCAAUAGGAUGAACCAUUCAUACUCCACAACAUGCCAAGUCCUUAUUAUAACUAGGAAAAUAAUUUUCAGACAUCUCUUUCUCAGUUUUAUGCCAGUAGAAAUAGUAUAGAUAUACCACAGAUCUAAUUUUUUUUUAGAUCUGAACAAAAUUUAAUUUUAGACUAGAUCAUGUGAUUUACUAUCAAUGUAUUACUUGAAAUUGCUUGUAGGAUUACUAUAUAGCAGGUGGCUGUGAAGUCAGUUUCAGUACAUAAACCAUAGUGCUCUUUGCAUGUGCACCUUCUCUUUUUCAUCGUGAAGUAUUAUGAGCCUUGAAUUUCAGCAGAUAGGGCAUGUUUCUCUCUAUAAAAAUUGAAACUAACACAUGACAAUUUUUCCUUAGUUUACCUAGCCAGCUGA
Molecule: long non-coding RNA, 1477 nt
Filed under: Sorghum bicolor (sorghum)
Lineage: Eukaryota; Viridiplantae; Streptophyta; Magnoliopsida; Poales; Poaceae
Description: long non-coding RNA (SBIC_LNC018725)
Source: RNAcentral